GUUGUGAUGACUCAGUGGUAGAGUGCUUUCCUGGAACGUGAGAGUCCCUAAGUUCGAUCCUUAGCACCACA
RNAcentral lists this transfer RNA (71 nucleotides) under Ictidomys tridecemlineatus (thirteen-lined ground squirrel). Its description in RNAcentral is "Spermophilus tridecemlineatus (thirteen-lined ground squirrel) tRNA". It matches the Rfam family "tRNA". From Rfam's summary of the family: Transfer RNA (tRNA) molecules are approximately 80 nucleotides in length. The record is from Rfam by way of RNAcentral. Lineage: Eukaryota; Metazoa; Chordata; Mammalia; Rodentia; Sciuridae.